AGUGAACGCUGGCGGUAGGCCUAACACAUGCAAGUCGAACGGCAGCACAGUAAGAGCUUGCUCUUACGGGUGGCGAGUGGCGGACGGGUGAGGAAUACAUCGGAAUCUACUUUUUCGUGGGGGAUAACGUAGGGAAACUUACGCUAAUACCGCAUACGACCUACGGGUGAAAGCAGGGGAUCUUCGGACCUUUCGCGAUUGAAUGAGCCGAUGUCGGAUUAGCUAGUUGGCGGGGUAAAGGCCCACCAAGGCGACGAUCCGUAGCUGGUCUGAGAGGAUGAUCAGCCACACUGGAACUGAGACACGGUCCAGACUCCUACGGGAGGCAGCAGUGGGGAAUCUUGGACAAUGGGCGAAAGCCUGAUCCAGCAAUACCGCGUGGGUGAAGAAGGCCUUCGGGUUGUAAAGCCCUUUUGUUGGGAAAGAAAAGCAGCAGGUUAAUACCCCGCUGUUCUGACGGUACCCAAAGAAUAAGCACCGGCUAACUUCGUG
Molecule: ribosomal RNA, 492 nt
Filed under: uncultured bacterium
Lineage: Bacteria
Description: partial 16S ribosomal RNA
Rfam family: Bacterial small subunit ribosomal RNA
Source: RNAcentral